RNAcentral lists this long non-coding RNA (799 nucleotides) under Fukomys damarensis (Damara mole-rat). RNAcentral describes it as "lncRNA (ENSFDAG00000024311.1)". The record is from RNAcentral. Lineage: Eukaryota; Metazoa; Chordata; Mammalia; Rodentia; Bathyergidae.
UUUAUUGUAAGAAUCAACUGGUAGCAUGGCCAUGAAAGGACUGUAUAAAGAGAAGCUAAUGAAAGUAGAAUAAUCACAAUCAGAGUCCCAUUUCACCAUUUUGAUCCUUUAAGCAACCGGACAGCCUGCUGCUCAUUCAGCCUCCGAGAUGCUUGAGACAUCAUCGAAUGGUCCAGGCCCUGUGACCCCGUGAUAAAGCGUAAGGCAGGCUUUGGGCUCUGUCAGCUGGCAUUCCUGUCUCACUCACUCACAGAUGCCAUAUUCUGCCAUGUGAGGCAUUACAAUGGCUGCCACUGUGACAUAGUCAUCCCAGAAAGGCUGGAAUGUGACAUUCCGAGUGAAUUCAGGCAAGAGGAGGAGAAGAGAGAACAUUUGUAAAGAGACAGCCCGGGACUCAGGAGAGGAUGGUACUAAAGAAGUACCUAUAAUCAUGGAACUGAAGGCAAACAUUUAGAUGCUGAGAGAAAAUGUCCCCAAGAGAAAGGACCUUCCCUGCUGGCUGUGGCAUGUUUGCUUCUCAUCAUUCAAGUUGAAACUGAAACAGCAUUCCUUGGAGAGGCCAUGACUCUUGACUCUAGAUCAAAUCAAGCUACAGAGAUGAAGAGGUUGAUCUGGCUGGCCUACCUGCAUAUCUUGAGCCCAGCCUAAUGUCUAUAUCGUAGGUUCCUCAGCAACUCUUGGAUAAGCUGAUGAAUGCCCAAUAUCUUCUGUCUGUUCUGCUGACCUGGAGAUUAGCGAUCCUCUUGUAUUAUCACUAGCUGUUUUCUAGUCUCAUUAAAUUCAGCACCUACAUGUCCUG